Corylus avellana is the source of this 456-nucleotide long non-coding RNA. RefSeq lists it as uncharacterized. The record is from RefSeq and is a predicted model, not a curated record. Lineage: Eukaryota; Viridiplantae; Streptophyta; Magnoliopsida; Fagales; Betulaceae.
CUUCGUUUAUUGUGGCUAUCAGAACCUCUCCUUCUCCAUCGUUACUCUUACUCUGGUCAAUAGCGUUGUGUUGGCGCAGCUUCGGGCGACAGAGAGAAGUAAGCCUAAAAAAUGGGUUUUGUUGUGGUGGUAUCAUUGCCUUUGAUACUCUUCAUCUUCAUCGUAGCACUUGCAUUUUACCUUCUGGGUAGGGCCUGGGGCCGAAGCGAAGCAGGCAGACUUCCGCAGUAUUAUGGGCCUCCAGCGCCUCCAGUCCAUGCCCACUCUCCGCCCACGGAUAAAUCAUAGCGGGAGCUAGAAUUGUUUUUCCUAUGUACUAUAUAUAUCUAUAUAUGUAUAUACUCCUUUGUUGUAUUUGUGUGUUGCCAAUAGGGACUAUUUCGAUGUGUUUGUACAAUAUAAUCACCGAUUCUUGCUAGAAAAUAAGAAAAAUAAAAAUAAAAUCAUAUUCGAAUC